UAUUGCACUUAUACCGGCCUGA
RNAcentral lists this microRNA (22 nucleotides) under Drosophila ananassae. RNAcentral describes it as "dan-miR-311a". Its record names the gene dan-miR-311a. Lineage: Eukaryota; Metazoa; Arthropoda; Insecta; Diptera; Drosophilidae. The record is from miRBase by way of RNAcentral.